This 1117-nucleotide ribosomal RNA is filed under the name Lacticaseibacillus rhamnosus. RNAcentral's name for it is "bacterial SSU rRNA". It matches the Rfam family "Bacterial small subunit ribosomal RNA", at positions 415 to 1522 of the family's 1533-position model. The record is from RNAcentral. Lineage: Bacteria; Bacillati; Bacillota; Bacilli; Lactobacillales; Lactobacillaceae.
CUUUCGGGUCGUAAAACUCUGUUGUUGGAGAAGAAUGGUCGGCAGAGUAACUGUUGUCGGCGUGACGGUAUCCAACCAGAAAGCCACGGCUAACUACGUGCCAGCAGCCGCGGUAAUACGUAGGUGGCAAGCGUUAUCCGGAUUUAUUGGGCGUAAAGCGAGCGCAGGCGGUUUUUUAAGUCUGAUGUGAAAGCCCUCGGCUUAACCGAGGAAGUGCAUCGGAAACUGGGAAACUUGAGUGCAGAAGAGGACAGUGGAACUCCAUGUGUAGCGGUGAAAUGCGUAGAUAUAUGGAAGAACACCAGUGGCGAAGGCGGCUGUCUGGUCUGUAACUGACGCUGAGGCUCGAAAGCAUGGGUAGCGAACAGGAUUAGAUACCCUGGUAGUCCAUGCCGUAAACGAUGAAUGCUAGGUGUUGGAGGGUUUCCGCCCUUCAGUGCCGCAGCUAACGCAUUAAGCAUUCCGCCUGGGGAGUACGACCGCAAGGUUGAAACUCAAAGGAAUUGACGGGGGCCCGCACAAGCGGUGGAGCAUGUGGUUUAAUUCGAAGCAACGCGAAGAACCUUACCAGGUCUUGACAUCUUUUGAUCACCUGAGAGAUCAGGUUUCCCCUUCGGGGGCAAAAUGACAGGUGGUGCAUGGUUGUCGUCAGCUCGUGUCGUGAGAUGUUGGGUUAAGUCCCGCAACGAGCGCAACCCUUAUGACUAGUUGCCAGCAUUUAGUUGGGCACUCUAGUAAGACUGCCGGUGACAAACCGGAGGAAGGUGGGGAUGACGUCAAAUCAUCAUGCCCCUUAUGACCUGGGCUACACACGUGCUACAAUGGAUGGUACAACGAGUUGCGAGACCGCGAGGUCAAGCUAAUCUCUUAAAGCCAUUCUCAGUUCGGACUGUAGGCUGCAACUCGCCUACACGAAGUCGGAAUCGCUAGUAAUCGCGGAUCAGCACGCCGCGGUGAAUACGUUCCCGGGCCUUGUACACACCGCCCGUCACACCAUGAGAGUUUGUAACACCCGAAGCCGGUGGCGUAACCCUUUUAGGGAGCGAGCCGUCUAAGGUGGGACAAAUGAUUAGGGUGAAGUCGUAACAAGGUAGCCGUAGGAGAACCUGCGGCUGGA